This 501-nucleotide ribosomal RNA is filed under the name uncultured bacterium. Its description in RNAcentral is "partial 16S ribosomal RNA". It matches the Rfam family "Bacterial small subunit ribosomal RNA", at positions 30 to 523 of the family's 1533-position model. The record is from RNAcentral.
AUUGAACGCUGGCGGCAUGCUUUACACAUGCAAGUCGAACGGCAGCACGGGUGCUUGCACCUGGUGGCGAGUGGCGAACGGGUGAGUAACACAUCGGAACAUGUCCAGUUGUGGGGGAUACCCAUGGGAGACCAUGGUUAAUACCGCAUAACCUCGCGAGAGAAAAGCAGGGGAUCGAAAGACCUUGUGCAAUUGGGGUGGCUGGUGGCUGAUUAGCUAGUUGGUGAGGUAAAUGCUUACCAAGGCUACGAUCAGUAGCGGGUCUGAGAGGACGAUCCGCCACACUGGGACUGAGACACGGCCCAGACUCCUACGGGAGGCAGCAGUGGGGAAUUUUGGACAAUGGGGGCAACCCUGAUCCAGCAAUGCCGCGUGAGUGAUGAAGGCCUUUGGGUUGUAAAACUCUUUCGGUUGGGAAGAAAAGUCAUGGGCUAAUACCCCAUGUAAUGACGGUACCAAAAGAAGAAGCACCGGCUAACUACGUGCCAGCCGCCGCCGUAA